GCUAUACUAAAUUUUUCAAACGCAUGAUUUAAAUGAAGCAGGUUCAUGCUUAAGAUACAAUUAGUAAUCUUCAAAUGUGACUACUAGGUUCAUAAUGUAUACAUAAUAUGCCUAGCAGAAGAUCAGCUACCAUUUACACCUACGGAUCAAAUUGUAUUCGAAUUUGCUAGGAUAAUCACAUGACCCACAUACUACUUGUUACAUGAAUUACCUCAAGACCUCAUAAUAGUUGAAACCAAAACAGAUCUAAACUAACAGAUUCAGAAAGUAAAAACAACAACUGAUAGAAUUAUACAUCAAGGCCUAAUAACAGUCAAAACCAGAAUAGAUAUGAUCAAAUAGAUUUAGAGAGUAAAUAACAACUGAUAUAAUUAAAAUGCACGAGCUCCAACUCUUGAUUUCCAUUUCAUUUCCUAAAUUUCAUGACAAUCAGCCGAUUUUACAAAGGCAUGUACCUGUAUAUGACCAAAACAAUGGUAAAUUCGAGUCAGGAGUAGCCAAUGACAAGAAGUAGCAUGAGCAACAAUUAGCAGCAGUUUCGAAUUAAUUCCAACCAGGAAAUGUUAUUAAGUAACCCAGGAAGUGAUUUUAAUCGAAUAACACAAGUAAACAAACUCAAAAUCAGCUUGAAUGACCAAAUUGAAAUUCAGAAAUCAACUAGGAGCUUCUGAAACAUCAACUACUAAAUUACCAGGACAAUACAAACCAUUUUCCAAUCUUAUAUAAGCUGGAAAUUUGAUCAAACAGCUAGAACUCAAAAUUAUCCUAUGAAACUUCAAUGGAACAGUGUUUUUUUUGGAGUUUUUGGUUGCUUGAAGUUUCAGAACUUUUCAGUAUUUCUAAGUCUAAAUUUUUUGAAUUUUUUGAUCUCGCUAGGCUUCUCAAAUUUGUGAAGUCUAAAUUUUUCC
RNAcentral lists this long non-coding RNA (908 nucleotides) under Nicotiana benthamiana. Its description in RNAcentral is "long non-coding RNA (NBEN_LNC011122)". Lineage: Eukaryota; Viridiplantae; Streptophyta; Magnoliopsida; Solanales; Solanaceae. The record is from RNAcentral.